CCUACGGGUGGCAGCAGUGGGGAAUAUUGCACAAUGGGCGCAAGCCUGAUGCAGCCAUGCCGCGUGUGUGAAGAAGGCCUUCGGGUUGUAAAGCACUUUCAGCGGGGAGGAAGGCGGUGAGGUUAAUAACCUCAUCGAUUGACGUUACCCGCAGAAGAAGCACCGGCUAACUCCGUGCCAGCAGCCGCGGUAAUACGGAGGGUGCAAGCGUUAAUCGGAAUUACUGGGCGUAAAGCGCACGCAGGCGGUCUGUCAGGUCGGAUGUGAAAUCCCCGGGCUCAACCUGGGAACUGCAUUCGAAACUGGCAGGCUAGAGUCUUGUAGAGGGGGGUAGAAUUCCAGGUGUAGCGGUGAAAUGCGUAGAGAUCUGGAGGAAUACCGGUGGCGAAGGCGGCCCCCUGGACAAAGACUGACGCUCAGGUGCGAAAGCGUGGGGAGCAAACAGGAUUAGAUACCCUAGUAGUC
Molecule: ribosomal RNA, 465 nt
Filed under: uncultured Klebsiella sp.
Lineage: Bacteria; Pseudomonadati; Pseudomonadota; Gammaproteobacteria; Enterobacterales; Enterobacteriaceae
Description: bacterial SSU rRNA
Rfam family: Bacterial small subunit ribosomal RNA
Source: RNAcentral